AUACGUUGGGGGCGAGCGUUAUCCGGAAUUAUUGGGCGUAAAGAGUGCGUAGGUGGUUUUGUAAGCGCGGGGUGAAAGGCAAUGGCUCAACCAUUGUAAGCCCUGCGAAUUGUGAGACUUGAGUGCAGGAGAGGAAAGUGGAAUUCCUAGGGUAGCGGUGAAAUGCGUAGAUAUUAGGAGGAACACCAGUGGCGAAGGCGACUUUCUGGACUGUAACUGACACUGAGGCACGAAAGCGUGGGGAGCAAACAGGAUUAGAUACCCUGGUAGUCCACGCCGUAAACGAUGAGCACUAGGUGUCGGGGUCGCAAGGCUUCGGUGCCGCAGUUAACGCAUUAAGUGCUCCGCCUGGGGAGUACGCACGCAAGUGUGAAACUCAAAUGAAUUGGCGGGG
RNAcentral lists this ribosomal RNA (394 nucleotides) under uncultured bacterium. RNAcentral's name for it is "partial 16S ribosomal RNA". It matches the Rfam family "Bacterial small subunit ribosomal RNA", at positions 523 to 918 of the family's 1533-position model. The record is from RNAcentral.